Molecule: ribosomal RNA, 205 nt
Filed under: uncultured bacterium
Lineage: Bacteria
Description: partial 16S ribosomal RNA
Rfam family: Bacterial small subunit ribosomal RNA
Source: RNAcentral
GACGAACGCUGGCGGCGCGCUUAACACAUGCAAGUCGAGCGAGAACCGGGACUUCGGUCCCGGGGACAGCGGCGAACGGGUGAGUAACACGUGGGUAAUCAACCCUCGGCACCGGGAUAGCCCGAGGAAACUCGGAUUAAUACCGGAUAGCCCCUCCGACUCUCGAGUCGGUCGGGAAAGGUAGCUUAGGCCUCUGGCCGGGGAC